Molecule: ribosomal RNA, 1161 nt
Filed under: Triticum aestivum (bread wheat)
Lineage: Eukaryota; Viridiplantae; Streptophyta; Magnoliopsida; Poales; Poaceae
Description: partial small subunit ribosomal RNA
Source: RNAcentral
AUGGAUCCUGAGCUGGGAGAGGUCACAGAGGAAGAGGGGGGCGCCAUAGAUGUGAGGGCUGCGGUACCGAAGCAGAGGAGGAGGAGGCGCAGGCGCAGGCAGAUGGCGCGACGUGCUGCCGAGGAGGAACUGGAGGCAGAGUUCAACAGACGCCUUGUGCGCGAGAAAAUGUCACCCAGAAUCAGGAUUGUUGCUCCUAGUUCCGGUGUUCUGAAGAUGGAGACUUCAGAAAAAAAUGGGUAUCAGUUGAUGGAUGUUGCCUACCACAUCGACUUUGACGGUUGCAUCAACCUAACUACUGGGUGGAAGGAUUUUGUGGCAGAGUGUGGAUUUGAGGAUGGUGAUGUGGUUAUGACUGCACUCGCUAGGGUUCCUUUGCUGUUGAACGAGCGUUUGGCGACAGUGAUACUGGAUUGCGUGGCGGAUUUUGUGUUUGCUGUUAAUGACAGCCAUGGUGUUCAUGAGGACAUUGCUGAUGUUGUUAAAGAUAUUGAUGAUGGAAUGUAUUCUCUUAACGUUGAUGAUGGUGAUGGCAGCUUGCAGUUGUCUGUUACUCAGUCUCAAAGUGUUGAUGGCACUGAGCCUGUUACCCAGGCUGAGGAUGUUCCUAUGCACAAAGCUGAUGGUGAUAGUGUUGCUGUGAAAAUUGGUCCAAGCAAACUUGGUGGCUCCCCUGUUCGUCAGAGUCCACGAGGUUUGACAAAUAAGAAGCCUUCUUCGUCUCCUCUUCAAGAGCGGUCUUUGUUGAAAGAAAAUAAGAAGCGUAAAGUUCAUCCUGCAAAGGUGAACAAAGGUGUGAAGAAGCAUGCUCGUGUCGAAGCUGAAGAUGUUGUUUCUCAAGAAAAUGAUAUUGAAGUUGAUUCUGAAGAUGAAUUUGCAGUGCCUAUUAGCGUUAUGAGUCCGGUCAAGCCGGUGGGAGGCAAUGCCGGAAAAGUUGCCUUGGAUGAAGAUCUUGAUACAAUGACUCUUGACAUGGGUGAGGCUAAUAAGAAACUUCGCAUCACUAGCGAUGGUAUACAUCAAUUAUUUGGUUUCCCUCGUGGUGGUCGUUCUGCGCCAAGGCCGUCAGAGGACGGAUAUGACAACGCUCUAAUGAAGUUAAGAACGGAGCUUGACAUUAGUAGGAACAAAAGAAAUCAGUACAAAGGAUUUGAGGAAUAA